UGGUGAAUAUUGGACAAUGGGCGAAAGCCUGAUCCAGCCAUGCCGCGUGUGUGAAGAAGGUCUUCGGAUUGUAAAGCACUUUAAGUUGGGAGGAAGGGCAGUAAGCGAAUACCUUGCUGUUUUGACGUUACCGACAGAAUAAGCACCGGCUAACUCUGUGCCAGCAGCCGCGGUAAUACAGAGGGUGCAAGCGUUAAUCGGAAUUACUGGGCGUAAAGCGCGCGUAGGUGGUUCGUUAAGUUGAAUGUGAAAGCCCCGGGCUCAACCUGGGAACUGCAUCCAAAACUGGCGAGCUAGAGUAGGGCAGAGGGUGGUGGAAUUUCCUGUGUAGCGGUGAAAUGCGUAGAUAUAGGAAGGAACACCAGUGGCGAAGGCGACCACCUGGGCUCAUACUGACACUGAGGUGCGAAAGCGUGGGGAGCAAACAGG
Molecule: ribosomal RNA, 429 nt
Filed under: Pseudomonadota bacterium
Lineage: Bacteria; Pseudomonadati; Pseudomonadota
Description: Proteobacteria bacterium partial 16S ribosomal RNA
Rfam family: Bacterial small subunit ribosomal RNA
Source: RNAcentral